AAGACUUUGAGUUGGACCUGACUUGUUUCUUAGGAAAACUUUUUCUUUUGGGCUUAAACAAAACAGAGUCCAAAUCUUAACCCUCGCACCAAGAAAACGAAAAUUUCUUACGCAAUCCCGUCCAAUCUAUAUCCCUCCUGGGUUUUCUCUCUCUUACCUGACAACUUGAUGAUCUGAGCUUCGACUCACCAACUCGACUCGACUCGGCCCGACUCCGCCAUGGCGGUUCAGUUCAAAUUCCGAAGCUCCGUGAACUUCGACUCGGUCGAUAUCGACAGCCGAACCUCCAUAUCAAUUCGCGAUCUGAAAUCGAAGAUAAUUCGCCACAAGAACCUCAAUAUAUGCCAAGACACCGAUCUCGUAUUCUCUGAUGCGAUAACUGGUCAAGAGUACACUGACGAGAAUAUUCAAAUUCCGCGUGGUUCUAGCGUGAUAAUCAAGAGAGUGCCCGCAGGAUCAAUUCAUGCAGAUGUUGGCAAGCCUCACGUCAACUCAUAUCAGAAUCUUCAUAGCAAGGACUCUGUGAAUGCUAAAUCACUUGUUUCAGCGAAUGUGGAGACUGUUGACUUUGAUGACUUUGGGGUUGACUUGUUUCCCAUUCCUAGGGCAACCUUUUUCAGUUCUGAUAUGGAUGCGGACAAGGAUACCUGCAUCCUUGAUUAUGAGCCAAAUACUGACAUCAAAAGAUAUUCAGAGCAAGCUGUGGGAGGAGGCCGUAAGCUUGAAGCAAGUGGCCUUAGUGAUGCUAUUCCAGAAGGUCAUGUACAUAGUGGCGUUGAGCACACCGUACCACAGACAAAACCAAAUCCUGAAGAAGACAUGAAUCUGGAAAAGGUGGGUAGUGUGAAUCCCAUAGAUACCCGGCAUGCUGAUUUGUCAUCAGAGCUGAAAUGCUCUUUAUGCUACUCAAUUUUCAAGGAGGCCAUGAUGAUACCAUGCUGCCAGCACAGUUUUUGUGAGAAAUGCAUUUGUCAAGUGCUGCUUGAGAAGGCAAGAUGUCCGAAGUGUUUUUCGACCAAAUGCAGAGUUGAUGAUUUGCUACCGAAUGUAUCACUUAGGCAAGCAAUUGAGCAUUUCCUAGAAUCUCAAAAUUUAAUCACUGGUCCAGAUAAUGAUUGCUGCCAAUAUGCUCCAGAUGGCGAAUCUGGAAUUCAGGCAAAAGAUGUGUCUUGUGGUGGUAGUAUCUUACAAAGAGAGUCAGAGUUGCCUCAUUCUCCUGAAACAGGGAUGGGAUCUAAUCAUUUCUUCGCAGAAUCUGCUCAUAUCCCAGCCUUCAAAAAAGAUGCACCUAACCAUUUCGGUGCAAAAAACUUUCUAAAAAGACAUGGUUCUACUCGUAUCGUUGCUGAUGGCUUGGCAGCCUUUGAUGAUUGCCAAGGAGAAAGCAAGCCGAUGCAUGAGCAAGCUGAACCCACAACUAAGAAAAAGAGGCCACCUUGGGUUUGCACAGCAGGUGGUGACAAGAGUUUCUUGGGGACUGGAAAGCACAGAAAGGGGGAACGUACCUGUUACAUGUGUGGGGCUCCAGACCAUUUCAUAAGAGACUGUCCAGUUGCUUCAAGUCCACAUCCUAUGCUUCAUGCAGGAAAUGCAAUCUUUCCAGGAGCUAUGCGAGGUUAUGUACCACCACACUGGAAUGGGGCUCCCUCGCCUCAUGCCCAGCCCUUUAGAAAUCCAUAUGGAAAUCAUGUGAUGACUGCUUUUGAUACAAGUCUGGUCCCUCCUGCUCCUUUUGCUGCUCCUACAUACAUGGCAUCUAUGUAUCAUAACUCGUUUCCUGCCUUUGGUGGAUAUAUGAGGAUGCGAGGUGUCACUCCUCUUCAAGGAACGGGUGAAGACUACAAUUUAACUCAUCCAGAGUUCCCGGAUCUUCAAGGUCGGGAAAAGAGAAGAAAAUUUUCAAAUGAGAAUUCGAAGAGAGAACAAUCUCAUGAUGGUGACGAAGACUGUGAUUUAAACAAGAGGCGUUACUGUACUGGGAUAGAAAGAUUGCAUGAUCAUAAAUCUUGUAUAAACAAAGAAAAGAGUACAAGUUACUCUGAGGACGGCUCUACUAAAGGGUCCCAGAGGCAACAUCGGCAUCAUAAUCACACAGAUGAUGACAUGCUCUCAAUUGAUGGUCAGCGGAAGAGUUCUCAUUUGGUGGUUGGUGGUAGAGAUCAGAAGCAGUAUCAUCGCACAGAGAGAUCAAGUUCAGAAGUAGAUGAUAUGUCAAGUAGCAGUUGCCACAGUGAAGAGAAACACAAAUACUAUCGUAGAAGCUCCAAAAAGUAUAAGGAAAGAGGAGAGCAGUGUGGCACUGGUUCCAGCCGGAGUCAUCAUCAAAGUAUGAGUAAGAAAGAUGAUCACAGUAAAAGGAUUGAGCACGAUUUCAAAAGGCACAGUCAGAAGCAUCACAGCCACUCAGGAUCCGGCAUAGAACAGAGUGUUUCCAGUGAUAAGAAGUUGCAUAAAGGGAGCAGUCGCAGUUCUAGACAUUCUAAGCACAGUGCAAAGAGUAAUGUUGAUGAGCUGAGUCAUGACAGGUGGCAGAUGGCUAGUGGGUCCGAUGAAGAUGGUGCAGAAGGUUAUCAGUAUUGUAGACGGAAAAUAAAACACUGAAUAGAAGAAGUGCUGAUUUCUGAGAUCUGAUUGACUCGGCUUUGGGACAGUAACUAUUUGUAAAUAUCUGCUAACCCUCUUCACUUUUUUAGCUUGAUCAUAGAGGGGGAAGGCUAGCAAACAAAAGUUUUAACCAGAGCAGCAGUGGUUGGAGAAAAACUUCCCAAUCCCUGUUUCAUUGAACCCCCUCUCUCUAUCGCUCACCUUCUUUGAUAGGUGACAAUGAAACGGAGAUAGGGAAGUAUUUCUCACAAUGGUUGAUGUAGCCAUAGGGCUCGUAUACCUUUUGUUCUUCAUGAAACUUUACUUUUGCAGCCAUAUCGAAGCUGGUUGAAGGUACAUAUUUGCUUCCCCUCCCCAAAAACACCGCGGGCAGUUUUACCAAAGGCCAGAGAAGCUGCAAUGACUUCG
Molecule: non-coding RNA, 3012 nt
Organism: Prunus mume (Japanese apricot)
Lineage: Eukaryota; Viridiplantae; Streptophyta; Magnoliopsida; Rosales; Rosaceae
Source: RefSeq, a predicted model, not a curated record